This is a long non-coding RNA of Gallus gallus (chicken), 693 nucleotides long. The record is from Ensembl. NCBI's taxonomy places the organism in Eukaryota, Metazoa, Chordata, Aves, Galliformes, Phasianidae.
AUCUUGCUCUGGGCCCUUCUCCCCAUGCUGGGUGCCGUCCAGCUCCUGCAUCACAACAGCUCAGUGGGCAUCGGUUUGGAGAGAGACGAAUGCCUGUCAAAGUGGUGUGGGGCAAAAUCAAGAUCCAGGCGGGAGCAAUGUGAUGUAGAAAUACCCUUUCUGCUGAUGGAGGCUUUGGUGAAUCCUUCCUAUCUGAAUGGGUGAUGGAGCAGUGAGUUCGAAAUGCCCUCAAACCAUUCAUUCGGUUGCGAGCAGUUUUUCUUCUCCGGAGACGUUGGUGGUAGAUUUUGUUUCAACUGAGCAAAAGGAGAGGACUUUUAAAAGCAGAGAGGACGGGCGGAAGACAAUGUCCCCUUGACGUCUGCAUGAAUGAGCUCAUUUAUCCCCCCCAGCGUCCGGAAACCGUUCCUCCUGCCCCGACAGCUGCAGGCUCUGUUUGCUCAGGGCCAUGGCCAGCCCCACUGCUCCCUGCCCCGCAGAGCCCCAUGCGCAGCAUUGCACCGAGCAGCAGCCGCCGGCACGCCAAGGAGCGCUUCGCCCUGUUUGGGUGAAACGCUGUGGACUGCCGGCCAAGGCUUGGAUUCCUUCCCCAGAAUGGCGUUUCCGUCAUUUAUUUCAACUAUUUCAGUUCUUCUCCUAGCGCCAGGACCCGCUGCCAACUGCUGUUCGAUGGCUAUUUAAUUAAUAUGUGUG